AGUGAACGCUGGCGGCAGGCCUAAUACAUGCAAGUCGAACGGCAGCACAGCAGAGCUUGCUCUGUGGGUGGCGAGUGGCGGACGGGUGAGGAAUACAUGGGAAUCUGCCCAGUCGUGGGGGAUAACGUAUGGAAACGUACGCUAAUACCGCAUGCGCCCUACGGGGGAAAGCCGGGGACCGAAAGGCCUGGCGCGAUUGGAUGAGCCCAUGUUCGAUUAGCUAGUUGGCGGGGUAAAGGCCCACCAAGGCGACGAUCGAUAGCUGGUCUGAGAGGAUGAUCAGCCACACUGGAACUGAGACACGGUCCAGACUCCUACGGGAGGCAGCAGUAGGGAAUAUUGGACAAUGGGGCAACCCUGAUCCAGCCAUGCCGCGUGAGUGAAGAAGGCCCUCGGGUUGUAAAGCUCUUUUGUCCGGAAAGAAAGCAUUCGGUUAAUACCCGGGUGUUCUGACGGUACCGGAAGAAUAAGCACCGGCUAACUUCGUGCCAGC
RNAcentral lists this ribosomal RNA (493 nucleotides) under uncultured bacterium. RNAcentral's name for it is "bacterial SSU rRNA". It matches the Rfam family "Bacterial small subunit ribosomal RNA", at positions 29 to 512 of the family's 1533-position model. The record is from RNAcentral.